This 161-nucleotide unclassified non-coding RNA is filed under the name uncultured Herpotrichiellaceae. Its description in RNAcentral is "sequence contains ITS2". The record is from RNAcentral. Lineage: Eukaryota; Fungi; Ascomycota; Eurotiomycetes; Chaetothyriales; Herpotrichiellaceae.
UCAACCAUUAAGCCUGGCUUGUUGUUGGACUUCUGCGGCUGAAACAUGUGGCAGGUCCGAAAAAUAAUGACGGUGUCGUGUUUGACCCUAGAUGCAACGAGCUUUUUAUAGCACGCAUUGAAGUGGUCGACUGAACUGGUCUUAACCAUCAAUUUCUAAGG